GGCGGUCAGGCCGCUCCCGUGCACGCGAAGGGCAAAAGCGUUUUUAGCCUCCGCGAGUGUGCAAGGAACGAACCCGUGCCGCGGUGAGUCUCGCUAACCUUCAAGGGACACGGCUGCAAGAAGGACCGUGACGCCUCAAC
Molecule: ribosomal RNA, 140 nt
Filed under: Coscinaraea columna
Lineage: Eukaryota; Metazoa; Cnidaria; Anthozoa; Scleractinia; Coscinaraeidae
Description: partial 5.8S ribosomal RNA
Source: RNAcentral